This 681-nucleotide ribosomal RNA is filed under the name uncultured nitrite-oxidizing bacterium. RNAcentral describes it as "bacterial SSU rRNA". It matches the Rfam family "Bacterial small subunit ribosomal RNA", at positions 21 to 696 of the family's 1533-position model. The record is from RNAcentral.
GGCUCAGAACGAACGCUGGCGGCGCGCCUAAUACAUGCAAGUCGAGCGAGAAGGUGUAGCAAUGCACUUGUAAAGCGGCGAACGGGUGAGGAAUACAUGGGUAACCUACCCUCGAGUGGGGAAUAACUAGCCGAAAGGUUAGCUAAUACCGCAUACGUUUCCGGGGCUUCGGUUCCGGAAAGAAAGCAAUACCGUGGGUAUUGCGCUCAUGGAUGGGCUCAUGUCCUAUCAGCUUGUUGGUGAGGUAACGGCUCACCAAGGCUUCGACGGGUAGCUGGUCUGAGAGGACGAUCAGCCACACUGGCACUGCGACACGGGCCAGACUCCUACGGGAGGCAGCAGUAAGGAAUAUUGCGCAAUGGACGAAAGUCUGACGCAGCGACGCCGCGUGGGGGAUGAAGGUCUUCGGAUUGUAAACCCCUUUCGGGAGGGAAGAUGGAGUGGGUAACCACUUGGACGGUACCUCCAGAAGCAGCCACGGCUAACUUCGUGUCAGCAGCCGCGGUAAUACGAAGGUGGCAAGCGUUGUUCGGAUUCACUGGGCGUACAGGGAGCGUAGGCGGUUGGGUAAGCCCUCCGUGAAAUCUCCGGGCCUAACCCGGAAAGUGCAGAGGGGACUGCUCAGCUAGAGGAUGGGAGAGGAGCGCGGAAUUCCCGGUGUAGCGGUGAAAUGCGUAGAGA